Molecule: ribosomal RNA, 380 nt
Filed under: uncultured bacterium
Lineage: Bacteria
Description: bacterial SSU rRNA
Rfam family: Bacterial small subunit ribosomal RNA
Source: RNAcentral
AUUGAACGCUGGCGGCAUGCCUUACACAUGCAAGUCGAACGGCAGCACGGGAGCAAUCCUGGUGGCGAGUGGCGAACGGGUGAGUAAUAUAUCGGAACGUGCCCAGUCGUGGGGAUAACGUAGCGAAAGCUACGCUAAUACCGCAUACGAUCUAUGGAUGAAAGCGGGGGAUCGCAAGACCUCGCGCGAUUGGAGCGGCCGAUAUCAGAUUAGGUAGUUGGUGAGGUAAAGGCUCACCAAGCCGACGAUCUGUAGCUGGUCUGAGAGGACGACCAGCCACACUAGGACUGAGACACGGCCCAGACUCUACGGAGGCAGCAGUGGGGAAUUUUGGACAAUGGGCGCAAGCCUGAUCCAGCAAUGCGCGUGCAGGAUGAAGG